Molecule: non-coding RNA, 809 nt
Organism: Lactuca sativa (garden lettuce)
Lineage: Eukaryota; Viridiplantae; Streptophyta; Magnoliopsida; Asterales; Asteraceae
Source: RefSeq, a predicted model, not a curated record
UCAUUCGGCCGUUGAUCUAAUACCACAAACCAAUGAGCCAUGCUCCCUGUUUAUAACACAAAAAACACUAGCGCAUAAUCAAUUUAAAUUUGAAAAUAAAAAAUAUGUUCCUCGACUCCCCUUCCCGGUUCUCUCGACAACCCUAAUCACCGCCUCCAUUGUUUACCUCUGCCACCGCCGCUACAAUCGAGCUUCCAUCUCUUCACCAGCACAGCCUAGCACCGGCCUCCACCUCUAGAAACUAGUAGUCACCAUAAACCCUAGAUACCAUGUAUUCAGGAUCCCACCACCGAGAUUAAACGAUUGUUGAUUUUUUUCCUUAUCGACGACCAUGACAUCACGACUGCUUUUCCUUAACGACGAUCUUCACCAUUCGGGUUUUAUUUGCUUUCCAUUUUGGUAUUAGAUUUCUUAUUUGAUUUGUAUCUGCUUUCAUUUUGUUUUUUGGUGUUUUGGUUUCGUAUUUCAUUUAUUCCAGACGAAUCCACCAAACCGAUGAUGGCCAUGACCGAAAAACUGCAGGUAAGUUGAGGUGGCAUUCAAUUAUCAAGAAACCAAUGGAAAGUUACCAAACUGCCCCUCUUGAUUUAAGUGUGUUGUUGCUAUAUGUAUGUGGAUGUACAUGGUUGGGUAUUUGAGGUCUUAUGUGUCUGAGUGGUUGUAUGUAAAGGUGAUUUUUGUUGUGUUAAUUAAGGAAUAUUUGUUCAUUUGGUGACAAGCAUCACUGCCCUUAUUCUGAUGCAUAAUAUGUAAAAAAGUUAGUCUUUCUUCCUUUGUUAAUCUGUUAGUAGGUUAUAGUUUCAAUUUUC